GCUUCGCCUCUGUCUCCCACCACGCCGCACGCCCCACGCCGGAAAAGGGAAGGCGAGCCACCUCCGCCCUCCCCUCGCCCCCGCGCUGGUCCCACCGCCGAGCCCAGUUCCCCUCACUUCUCCGUCCAGGCGCCGUCGCCAUCAAUCGAUCUCCCGAGCAAGCGACCUCCCUCCCCGAUCUACUCGUUGGCUAUGGCGGACGAGCCGGAGGGGCGAGGGGCGGGGGAGCGUGGACGCCAACUGGCGCCCCACCCAAGACUCAGAUCCCGCCACCGCGGCCGCCGGAGGCGGGGUUGACCCGAACGCACCGGCGCCCCACCGCCGGAGGUGACUGGCGCUCCGGGCUCCAUCCCGACGCCCGCGCUAGGAUCGUCAGUAAGAUAUCCAGUCGCACUCCUCAUCCAGCUCCAUGUCUCCUGGUGCGGCGGCACAGUGGGAGGAUGUGAACGCGCGGCCGCCCAGGGGUGGUGGUGGUGGUGACCUGCCUGCUCGUCCCUCGUCCUCAUCACCGGCCUCUCCGAGGUCGCUGCUGGGGCAAUCUCCAUGGGCCCUUGAGGAUGGAGUAGGAGGAUGAGCAGCAGCAAAUGAGCCUGAUGGUGAAGAAGCACCUGAUGACCAGAACUCGUUCAAGAGCUCUUUUGUCCUUCCAAAACAGGGUCUUGAUGUCCCCCUUACAGAAAAAUGUUCAUACAUGUUCCUGCAUGAUGCGUGUGUGCAUGUUGGAUGGUCAUAUUCUAGUGUACUAGCUAGCUAGAUGCUGCGCUCGCUACUUACAUGUUUUCUGAUGCCGCAACAAAGGACUAUAUGUGGUUUCUUCAGUGGGACUGUUGCUGUCGCUCCUCAUGUUCAAUAACAUUUCAGCAUUGGACCUGCUAGUCACCCAAGCCAAGCCUCGCAUCGCUUCAAUAAAGCGAUACUUCUUCCAAUCAACCCCUACUUCGGCUCUGCUCUUUUUUCCAUCUUCUCUUAUUUAAGCUAAGAAAGAUUCUGAGUUUGCAUCCAUCUCAUUACACUAGCUAGCACAAUAUAUUAGUUAAUGCAACUCUACUACAUAUCAAUUUCCCCUACUGGAUUGGUUCUAUAUUUUUAAAGUUGUUUCGUGGUGCAUGAGCCCAACCUGAAGAAAUAUAGGCUUAUGAUGACUAUUUUCCUUCUUAAGUAAUCAUAGUUGUUGGCUUCGGUAGCUUGCUGAAUAUGCUUUAGUUAUAUAUAGAAAUGACGUGCCUUCUAUGCUUAAAUGAUUGUUUGGCUCUAUAUAAUUGUUGACAUGAAUAUCUUGACUUCCCAAACAAGUAUUGGGCUGUACCUAUGCAUACAGAUUAUCCUAACAGAACUAAAAAUAAAAAUUGAAGCAUGAAAUAAGCAAUAAGUGGCUGAUUUUUAUUUGCAUGUUAAGCGAAAAGUUGUAGCCAAGGCUUAUAUAUUACAAAAUAUUGUCACACCUCUGAGCUUCUACUGUUGUUAGGGACAUCGUAGUGUGAUCUUCAUGAUUUUUCGCUUGAAGAUGUACUGAUUCAUUAGUCAAGCAGAGACCGAAGUCAUCUUUUGCUACUGCUAGCUCUAUGGAUGUUUAUUUACGUGCAACUUCUGCCAGCUCUAACUUGGUUAUAUAGUAGUUCAAUUCAGUCAAUCUGUUGGAACUAGUUUGUCUAUUACUUGUAUCCAGAUUUUAUAUCCUGCCCUAUGCCAUUGUCGACUUGCUUAGGUACAUAAUUGUUAUCUCUUGCAAUCUGGUAUUGAUGAUUGUCAAUGUAUUCAUUUAUACCUUUCUAGUGUACCUUGUAUGUGACCCAGCUGAUCUGUAUAUCAAUGCUCUGUUUCCAAUAGAUGUAUGCUGAUGCCUGAUGGCUGAUUCCUUAAAACUUCACUGUUGCAGUAGCAUUUUUCCUUAGUGCAUAGAUGUAUGAGCGAUCACUUAUGCUUGAAACCUUGCUCUCUUUCCCAGGAACCAUCGUGGUCUGCGUCACUACUGGGGCAGGAGAGGAAAGACUGUUGGUGUCUCCAGGAAGCGAUAAACUGCUUCACAAGGAUCCCCGCAUAGCUUCACUACUACUGUGUUGGUCCAUUUCCAGAAUCGUAAGGAGUGUUCUUGUUUAUACGAUUACCUUGGAUGAUGCUUUUGCUUAAGGAGAGGCUCAAGAAGAUCAAGGAGCUCCGCAUCCGAGUUUCAGCCAUCCUCUACAGCAAGGAGCUCUGGGCCAAAGGAGCAAGCAGCGCUGCUAGUUCCUUGAUGCCAGAUCGAGUAAGAUGGCGCACCAUGGCGUGUGGUGGCGUAUUUUGCUUCCGAGAACAGUACUGUUUAUUUGAAGUGAGAUGUACUCGUCUAGUGCCUGGCAAAAAAAUGAAGGAUGAAGUGUCAUGUACUGUCUAUGUUGUAGUGAGCUGUAGUAGGAGUGAAAUGAAAAUGUAUCUGCUGUUGUAUGUGCUAUUUCGCUGUAAUGUAUUGUGUACAUUUUACUUGAACAUUAAAUUCUCCAGAAAAAAUGUUCUUACUGGACCUGAUAGUGGCCACGGCCCAAAUAUACUUGUACUAUUAAGAUGCCAUGGCCCAAAA
Molecule: long non-coding RNA, 2554 nt
Organism: Triticum aestivum (bread wheat)
Lineage: Eukaryota; Viridiplantae; Streptophyta; Magnoliopsida; Poales; Poaceae
Exons: 5
Source: RefSeq, a predicted model, not a curated record